RNA transcript from Echinops telfairi (small Madagascar hedgehog), 3802 nucleotides. It is a transcript of the gene named FHF complex subunit HOOK interacting protein 2A, with no coding region annotated. The transcript has 3 exons. Lineage: Eukaryota; Metazoa; Chordata; Mammalia; Afrosoricida; Tenrecidae. The record is from RefSeq and is a predicted model, not a curated record.
UGUACAUGGUAAGUGAUAUCAAAUGUCUUUCUCUUUUCCCCUCUCUGUAGCCCUAUGAUGUCAACUUACAAGUCACCUCGGUCUUAUCUAGACUCUCUCUCUUCCCCCACCCACACGUUCACGAAUACCUUUUGGAUCCCUACGUGAACCUUGCUUCUGGCUGUAGAUCUCUCUUCUCUGUCAUCGUCAGGGUGGUUGGAGACCUGAUGGUUCGAAUCCAGCGCAUUCAAGACUUUACUCCCAAACUUCUGUUGGUCAGAAAACGUUUACUUGGUCUGGAACCUGAAGGUCCCAUCAUCGACCACAUCACCUUGCUUGAGGGCGUGAUCGUGUUAGAAGAAUUCUGCAAGGAGCUGGCAGCCAUUGCCUUUGUGAAGUACCACGCUUCCUCCACACCCUAAGCCGCGCCAUUGGAGCAACUCGAGGGACAGAACUGUUGCACAUGGAUUUCCUCAGAACCGGCUCUAUCCCACCCAGCUCAGCGGGGACUUAAAGGCUUUUUUAAAUGAAGCAUUGCUGUCAACUGGACGGAACCAUUAAGAACCGACUGAAUGGACAUUCUUAGUGGUAGAAUGUUUUCAUUGGCUCUAUCUUAAUGGUUCUCGAUAUACUACAAUUGCACGUCAUUGAGUCCAGGAUCCAAUCAAAGGAACUUCAGGAAAUAAGCAUUUCUAAUGACUGUGUGAAAAGCUGCAAAAUUUCUGAUGUCAUGACUUUGAUAUUUCUGUUAUUUUAAUAUCUUUUAGGUAGCAAGGCAUUUUGACAUUCUCUGGGACUCAGAUGCUUAUAUUGUUUUGGAUUAUGAGUCGCCAAAAAAAAAAAUCACUAAUUUUAUAACCUUUUUCAGGUCAGAAUUCUUAUCAAACAGACUAUGAGGAGAAAUUAUAGAUUACAAAAAGAGACAGUUCAGGAACCAUCAAAUAAAAUGACUUCCUCAUAGGAGCUGAUCAUUCAAGACAAAAGUGUGUAGCGCACCAUUAACUUCAGCUUUUCUAAGAAUAGCAAUUUAAUAUGAUAAAUUCUUGAUUAAUAUAAUAUAUAUAUAUAUAUUUUUAAAGCGUUCUUUUCCUCUUGUGUCCACCACCGUGUUAGUGAUUGAUUUUCAUGUGGGUCCCAGCUUAUGUAAACUAUCAUUCUUGCCACAGUGUUGAAUUUAUGUUCAGCACCAGUAGUGUUUGCUAAAAGACUCAAACCCCUCACUGUCAUUGUUGCUUCCAACUUAGCUACCCUGUCAUGACAGAGUCCAGCUGCCUGGGAGGGUUUCCAAGGCCACAAAUCCUGAGGGAAGCAGUUGGCCACCCCUUUCCCCUGUGGUUCAGCUGAUGGGUUCCAUUCGAACCACUGACCUUUCAGUUCUCGGCCGAGUGAGCACUUUAACCACUGCACCACUGGGGCUCCUCUUUGAUCGAGUAUCUCGUACAGCUGAUUAGCAUGUAUGGAGGUGAGAACCUACCUUUUCCCCUCUUGCUCGCUCUCUCUGAAAGUCGCUUUAUAAGUUGCUUUAGGACUUGAUUUCAGAUGAAAACCUAUGGUAGUGCCUAAGCAAGGGACUGGCUGGUAAGCUUAGGCAACAAUCAAAAUGCCAGGGCCUCCCGAAUGUUUACAUUGCUCUUCCUGUGCCCGGUCAUUUGUUUCAAAUGAUCCUAAAAGAGAGAAACAAAACGAGCACCAGUCUUGUAAAUGCCCUGUUUACAUAUUAACGGAUUUUGGUAAAUUGGGUCUCGAUGUGAGUGGAUCUUGGUGGGGGAGGGUGCGUGUGUGGGUCGGUUAGCAAAGGCGUGCUGGGCACAGCCUGCGAAGGGUGACUGACCAACGUGGUGUCUGCUGGGUCAUUGCUUAGUCUGUGUUUCAGUGACGCUCAUCACUCAAGUAUUGCUUGUAUACUCUCUCACUUUUUUUCUUUAAGUUGAACUUUUAAGCAGCAGCACUUUCUUUCCACACCGGUCUCUGAGGGAGGAGGAGACCGAACUCUCCAUCUUGAGAAGACCGGCCUGCCUCCAAAGCCACUUCCGGUCACCCGUGUCCUCCGCCCAGAGGCGAGGUGGUUGACGGCUGCUCGUCCUGCUGUGCACGAUUGGCUUCGUCCUUCAGAACAAGGAUCAAAGAGCACGAGCCUUCUCCGCUCUGGAGAAACACCACAAAGAGCCUCAGUGUUUAAUGAGCUGCAAAUCCCUCUUCGCAUCUCCUACGACAUGCCUGCAGCAAGACCAUGAAAAACAAAGCGUGCCAUGGUUACUGCUUGCGUGCUUUUGACUUGAUUUUCCUGCUGGGAAAGCAUACUUCUGUUUGCCGUGUCUGUCCAUCCGGUCGUCCGUGCAUGCAAAGCACUAGCUCCUACAGCAUCUCCACGCUCGGAGGUGGACGCAGCUGGAGGUGUGUCUGAAACCAGGCAUGAAGAGAAGGGAGAUGCCAUCAGGGGUUCACGGCAUGGGCAGGAGGGGUGACGGCAGUGACUCGCCCUCUCACACCAAAAAUACAUUUCAUCCCGAUUUCCAGGGGGACCCGGGAGCGAGUCGUGGCACUACGCCCAGAAAGCUUUAACCCGUGUAUUUUGGGGGUGCGUGCUGCUUCUAAAAUCAUAACUAAGUUAUUUCUGAUGACUUUGCUUUUAAUCAGCUAAAACUUUAAGGUAUAAGUAUUUUAGAAAUAAUGGUGUCUCUUAAAGAGUAUCUUAUGGACAUCCCCAAUCUCCCACCUCCCUUCCCUCCCACCCCAAUUAUUUAGUUCAGACCUAGAGCCAGCACAAGUUCUCCUAGCGAACUGGAUUUGUUGGUGAAACAUUGUUCCACCUCACCCGUUCUUGUCUUCACGUCUCUGGGGCCCGAAGAUGUACAAGACUCAGUGCUCGCACACUGUGACCAAAAUGUGCUGCGCGUGGUGGGGUGGAAGAUACCCCCUCGCCACUUCCAGUUGUUAGGAUAGCAAGUUCCAAACGGAAGUCAGUCUCACUUCAUAGUUGUAUAAAUCUGGAUGCACAUUUUUUGUUUUUCUCCUUAAUUUUUCUCCCAGUCUUUGGGUUUAUGCUUAAUAAUGAGCCACCUGCUUGGCGGAACCGGAUCUGUCCUUAGCUGAUUGUCACAGUAGUUAGUGCUCACGGCGUCACUAUGUCACCUUCUCACGGAGUCUCUGCCUGUGCAAUAUAGAAGCUAUGCGUGGACUCAUAGCUUUUUGGUUGGGGGUGGGUUGUGGGUUUUUUUGUACAUUGUGUGUGUACAUAUAUGUGUAUAUGUAUAUAUCUCUAUAUAUAAGGACCAAAAUCCUUAGCUUGCUUACACUGCUGCUAGUGUAAAGAUUGUUACACUUCAUUUUACGGGGCACAAAUUCCAAAACGACUUCAUAAAUUCUUGGUAACGUAUUCCCAUAAAUUAUUGCAUUCCUCUAUACCUACCAGUGAAUUAUGAAGUUCACAGGCAAUGAAGGCCCAGGGAAGUUCUAAAUGUGGUCCUUCUCCUUUAGGUUGUACACGAAAUCAGAAUAUGCAUGUCAUGGUGAAACUCCAUGUGAACACAUGCCAGGCAAUGUUCCUGGGCCCCGUAAAAUAGUGUUACUGUAAUACUCUGUUUUGCCUCCUGCCUUGUUUACAUUAAACAGGAUCAUUGGUAGGUUGUUCUAUUGAGCAUCCUGGAGGUCACUGACAGUGUUAACCAAGGUGUGGCAUCUGUGGCUCAUCACCAAGAAAUGGCAGAUGGUGGCUGCGUGCCUACUCUCCCUUCUCGGAAGGACGUUGUGAUCAAGUUCAGCUUCUUGUGCUAACAAUGCAUGCAGGACUAUGAGGGAUCAUCUAAGAAUAAAUCAUGUUAAU